This is a long non-coding RNA of Mya arenaria, 300 nucleotides long. RefSeq lists it as uncharacterized. The transcript has 4 exons. The record is from RefSeq and is a predicted model, not a curated record. NCBI's taxonomy places the organism in Eukaryota, Metazoa, Mollusca, Bivalvia, Myida, Myidae.
GUCCAUGGAAACAAAGCCGUUGCUGAAUAUAACAGGAGGUUACCAAACAGCUGUGACUUUUUUACCCCGUGAAGUAGGCGAAUAUCAUGUUUGUCUGCAAACAUUUAACAAAUUAAGAGUAAACAAGGACGAGGUCUGCUUUACUGUUACAGUCACCGAUGGCGUUGAUUUGGUCUUCGGUUUUAAGGACCGUGCACACUUUAUACAUCCUAGUCUUCAACCCAAAACUGACGUUAACUGCAAGGCAAAUGAUGUUUGUCACGUGACAUACACAAUUACACCCGGGGCUGGACAUGAAAC